CCUACGGGUGGCAGCAGUGGGGGAUAUUGCACAAUGGGGGAAACCCAUGCAGCGACGCCGCGUGUGGGAAGACGGUCCUCUGGAUUGUAAACCACUGUUCCCAGGGACGAAGAAGACGGUACCUGGGGAGUAAGCUCCGGCUAACUACGUACCAGCAGCCGCGGUAAUACGUAGGGAGCGAGCGUUGUCCGGAAUUACUGGGUGAAAAGGGGGCGUAGGCGGGGAUGCAGGUUGGGUGUAAAAACUACGGGCUCAACUGGUAGGCGCACUUGAGACUGCAGCUCUUGAGUGAAGUAGAGGCAGGCGGAAUGCGUAGUGUAGCGGUGAAAUGCGUAGAUAUUAGGAGGAACACCAAUGGCGAAGGCGGCCUGCUGGGCUUUUACUGACGCUGAGGCUCGAAAGUGUGGGGAGCAAACAGGAUUAGAUACCCCUGUAGUC
Molecule: ribosomal RNA, 438 nt
Filed under: uncultured bacterium
Lineage: Bacteria
Description: partial 16S ribosomal RNA
Rfam family: Bacterial small subunit ribosomal RNA
Source: RNAcentral